This 439-nucleotide ribosomal RNA is filed under the name uncultured Alistipes sp. RNAcentral's name for it is "bacterial SSU rRNA". It matches the Rfam family "Bacterial small subunit ribosomal RNA", at positions 338 to 774 of the family's 1533-position model. Lineage: Bacteria; Pseudomonadati; Bacteroidota; Bacteroidia; Bacteroidales; Rikenellaceae. The record is from RNAcentral.
CCUACGGGAGGCAGCAGUGAGGAAUAUUGGUCAAUGGACGCAAGUCUGAACCAGCCAUGCCGCGUGCAGGAAGACGGCUCUAUGAGUUGUAAACUGCUUUUGUACGAGGGUAAACUCACCUACGUGUAGGUGACUGAAAGUAUCGUACGAAUAAGGAUCGGCUAACUCCGUGCCAGCAGCCGCGGUAAUACGGAGGAUUCAAGCGUUAUCCGGAUUUAUUGGGUUUAAAGGGUGCGUAGGCGGUUUGAUAAGUUAGAGGUGAAAUCCCGGGGCUUAACUCCGGAACUGCCUCUAAUACUGUUAGACUAGAGAGUAGUUGCGGUAGGCGGAAUGUAUGGUGUAGCGGUGAAAUGCUUAGAGAUCAUACAGAACACCGAUUGCGAAGGCAGCUUACCAAACUAUAUCUGACGUUGAGGCACGAAAGCGUGGGGAGCAAACA